RNAcentral lists this transfer RNA (60 nucleotides) under Candidatus Izimoplasma sp. HR1. Its description in RNAcentral is "Candidatus Izimaplasma sp. HR1 tRNA". The record is from Rfam by way of RNAcentral. Lineage: Bacteria; Bacillati; Mycoplasmatota; Mollicutes; Candidatus Izemoplasmatales; Candidatus Izemoplasmataceae.
AUUUUGGUUUCUAAUGCCCUUCUAAGGCAUCGGUCGGGGGUUCGAAUCCCUCUCGGAAUG